This 245-nucleotide ribosomal RNA is filed under the name uncultured bacterium. RNAcentral describes it as "partial small subunit ribosomal RNA". It matches the Rfam family "Bacterial small subunit ribosomal RNA", at positions 26 to 285 of the family's 1533-position model. The record is from RNAcentral.
AGAAUCAACGCUGGCGGCGUGCCUAACACAUGCAAGUCGAACGAGAAAGUGGAGCAAUCCAUGAGUAAAGUGGCGACCGGGUGAGUAACACGCGACUAACCUACCUUCGAGUGGGGGAUAACCUCGGGAAAACCGAGGCUAAUACCGCAUAACAUCGCAAGAUCAAAGCAGCAAUGCGCUGGAAGAGGGGUCGCGGCUGAUUAGCUAGUUGGCGGGGUAACGGCCCACCAAGGCGAAGAUCGGUA